RNAcentral lists this ribosomal RNA (490 nucleotides) under uncultured bacterium. RNAcentral's name for it is "partial 16S ribosomal RNA". It matches the Rfam family "Bacterial small subunit ribosomal RNA", at positions 30 to 507 of the family's 1533-position model. The record is from RNAcentral.
AUUGAACGCUGGCGGCAGGCCUAACACAUGCAAGUCGAACGGUAACAGGAAGAUUCUUGCUUCUUUGCUGGCGAGUGGCGGGCGUGUGGGUAAUGUCUGGGAAACUUCCUGAUGGAGGGGGAUAACUACUGGAAACGGUAACUAAUACCGCAUAGAGUCGCAAGACCAAAGAGGGGGGGCUUCGGGCCUCUUGCCUUCGGCUGUGCCCAGAUGGGAUUAGCUAGUAGGUGGGGUAAAGGCUCACCUAGGCGACGAUCCCUACCUGGUCUGAGAGGAUGACCAGCCACACUGGAACUGAGACACGGUCCAGACUCCUACGGGAGGCAGCAGUGGGGAAUAUUGCACAAUGGGCGAAAGCCUGAUGCAGCCAUGCCGCGUGUGUGAAGAAGGCCUUCGGGUUGUAAAGUACUUUCAGCGGGGAGGAAGGGAGUUAAGUUAAUACCUUUCCUCAUUGACGUUACCCGCAGAAGAAGCACCGGCUAACUCCGUG